This 253-nucleotide ribosomal RNA is filed under the name uncultured bacterium. Its description in RNAcentral is "partial 16S ribosomal RNA". It matches the Rfam family "Bacterial small subunit ribosomal RNA", at positions 524 to 776 of the family's 1533-position model. The record is from RNAcentral.
UACGUAGGGUGCAGGCGUUAAUCGGAAUUACUGGGCGUAAAGCGUGCGCAGGCGGUUUUGUAAGCCAGAUGUGAAAUCCCCGGGCUUAACCUGGGAAUGGCAUUUGGGACUGCAAGGCUCGAGUGCGGCAGAGGAGACUGGAAUUCCUGGUGUAGCAGUGAAAUGCGUAGAUAUCAGGAGGAACACCGAUGGCGAAGGCAGGUCUCUGGGCCACUACUGACGCUGAGAAGCGAAAGCAUGGGGAGCGAACAGG